CCCUUAGAUGUUCUGGGCCGCACGCGCGCUACACUGAUGCAUUCAACAAGUUCACCUUGGCCGAAAGGCUUGGGCAAUCUUUUGAACAUGCAUCGUGAUAGGGAUAGAUUAUUGCAAUUAUUAAUCUUGAACGAGGAAUUCCUAGUAAACGUAGAUCAUCAAUCUGCAUUGAUUACGUCCCUGCCCUUUGUACACACCGCCCGUCGCACCUACCGAUUGAAUGGUCCGGUGAAGCCUCGAGAUUGUGGCCAGCUCGCUUUAUUGGGAGUUGGUUGCGAGAACUUGUCUAAACCUUAUCAUUUAGAGGAAGGUGAAGUCGUAACA
Molecule: ribosomal RNA, 324 nt
Filed under: uncultured eukaryote
Lineage: Eukaryota
Description: partial 18S ribosomal RNA
Rfam family: Eukaryotic small subunit ribosomal RNA
Source: RNAcentral